GGAGAAGUGGCUCAGUGGUAGAGUGUGUGCUUAGCAUGCACGAGGUCCUGGGUUCAAGCCCCAGUGCUUCCA
RNAcentral lists this transfer RNA (72 nucleotides) under Camelus bactrianus (Bactrian camel). It matches the Rfam family "tRNA". From Rfam's summary of the family: Transfer RNA (tRNA) molecules are approximately 80 nucleotides in length. Their secondary structure includes four short double-helical elements and three loops (D, anti-codon, and T loops). Lineage: Eukaryota; Metazoa; Chordata; Mammalia; Artiodactyla; Camelidae. RNAcentral also lists the same sequence under 2 other names. The record is from Rfam by way of RNAcentral.